RNAcentral lists this transfer RNA (21 nucleotides) under Pedicularis procera. RNAcentral's name for it is "partial tRNA-Leu". The record is from RNAcentral. Lineage: Eukaryota; Viridiplantae; Streptophyta; Magnoliopsida; Lamiales; Orobanchaceae.
GGUUCAAGUCCCUNUAUCCCC